Notechis scutatus (mainland tiger snake) is the source of this 230-nucleotide unclassified non-coding RNA. Its record names the gene 7SK. It matches the Rfam family "7SK RNA". From Rfam's summary of the family: 7SK was discovered as an abundant small nuclear RNA in the mid-70s but a possible function has only recently been suggested. Two independent studies have found that 7SK RNA binds the CDK9/cyclin T complex (known as elongation factor P-TEFb). NCBI's taxonomy places the organism in Eukaryota, Metazoa, Chordata, Lepidosauria, Squamata, Elapidae. The record is from Ensembl.
GUAUAUCUGGCUACAACUUCUGUUACCUUAUUCAUCUCCAAGGUUCCUUCAGCUAUUGUGACUGGCUAGACAAGUGUCCGCUUCAUUCACCAGCAUUUCUUGUGUGUCAUUCCCAAAGUUACGUGCUUAGUGGAAGAAAGUGACCAUCUGAGUCAGAAGGAAUAUACUGAUUUUCAGUCAAGGGUAUUGCUCUCUUUCAUUGGAGCCUCAAUCUCCAUCUUCAACUCUGA